Molecule: ribosomal RNA, 532 nt
Filed under: uncultured bacterium
Lineage: Bacteria
Description: bacterial SSU rRNA
Rfam family: Bacterial small subunit ribosomal RNA
Source: RNAcentral
AGAGUUUGAUCAUGGCUCAGGAUGAACGCUGGCUGUGUGCCUAAUACAUGCAUGUUGAACGAAGCUAAAAGUGCUUGCACUUUAAGACUUAGUAGCGAAUGGGUGAGUAACACGUACUUAACCUACCCCCAAGUUUGGGAUAACGUUUGGAAACGAACGCUAAUACCGAAUACGUAUUUUUAUCGCAUGAUAGAAAUAUAAAAGGAGCUUCGGCUUCGCUAGGGGAUGGGAGUGCGCUACAUUAGUUAGUUGGUAGGGCAAUGGCCUACCAAGACUAUGAUGUAUAGCGGGGCCGAGAGGCUGAUCCGCCACACUGGGACUGAGAUACGGCCCAGACUCCUACGGGAGGCAGCAGUAGGGAAUUUUCCACAAUGAACGAAAGUUUGAUGGAGCGACACAGCGCGCAGGAUGAAGGUCUUCGGAUCGUAAACUGCUGUUAUAAGGGAAGAAAAACUUUAGUAGGUAAUGACUAGAACUUGACGGUACCUUAUCAGAAAGCGACGGCUAACUAUGUGCCAGCAGCCGCGGUAAU